This is a long non-coding RNA of Amaranthus tricolor (Joseph's coat), 2574 nucleotides long. RefSeq lists it as uncharacterized. The record is from RefSeq and is a predicted model, not a curated record. The transcript is spliced from 3 exons. Lineage: Eukaryota; Viridiplantae; Streptophyta; Magnoliopsida; Caryophyllales; Amaranthaceae.
AUUUUUGUAAAAGUCAUCAGCAACAUGUUCUUGUACAUGCUUAUUUAGCUAAUAUAGAAGCUCUAUUGGUUACAAAAAUGCAAGAGGGCUAGCAGCCUAGCACUAGCUUUUAGUGUAUAUGGUUGAAUUAAGUUAAUAAUAGGAAAAAAUUGCGGAUGUCAUUGCUAAUGGGUUAACGGUUGUGAUGUUGCAGGCGCAACACCUUGUCUUUUGGUGCAGUGGGAUUUAAGAGCUUCUCUACAAAAUAAAUCCCCUUUAGAACAGCUUAGCUAGCAAUUGUGCAUGUUGUUUCAACAUUUCACACAGAAAAAUAAACCUAAUUAUUUUUUGAUAUUUUUUUGUUCACUCUUCCUUGAAAGCCUGUUUAGGUUAUCAUGGAAUUUGCGAGUUCUUUGAAACAAGGCAGUUUACAUCAAAGAACAAUCAACAAUGUCAAGUAAACAUCAUCAAAGUAAGUUCAUAUUUUAAUUAGGUAUAUCAAAACCUAAUUGUCUUUUUAAUUUUUUUUGUUCACAUUUUAGAUUUAUUUACCCGGAGUUGCUAGAUUAUUUAAUUAGGUUUGCUGCAUUGUGUUCGUAUAUUUUUUGAUUUGUUGAACUAAAAAAAUCUAGAGAAACAUCAGUGCUUGAUUGUGGGAUGGAAUCUCGGUCAUUCUUUGAUGUUGUAAUAUUAGGGCUUCUCCAAAUUUUAGGGCUUCUCAAUGGCUUCUUUGGAAAUCUAUCUAUGAUAUAUAAAACGUUUGCAAAGCCUGAAUACUAUUCAUUAGCAAUUAGAUGAAUAGUGUUUUUGAUGACUUGGCAUCCCACAACAUCAAUUGCUGCCACUUCACCAAAAUCUCUUCUAUUAUCUAUGCCGAUCAGGUCCCAUGCGCCACCUCUACUGCUUUACUUUGCUGACAUUUCAUAGACAUUUAAUAUAGGGAGAGUUUGGAUGAAAAGAGAGACUAAAAGUGUGGAUGAUAAUUAUAUAGGAGAGUUUGGAGUCAUAUCUUGACAAGUAAAUGUAGUGAAUUCAAAUUAGGAGGAAGCAAAAGUGGAUAUUGUAGCAAAUUCGAUGGUACAUAGGUGUUAUAUAUGUAUCUGUUACUAAAUGGAUUGGAACCUUGUGGUGUUUUUAUAUACACACAUUAUCUUUGUUGUUAUACUUUGAAUUCAACCUCCUCAAUUUGAUGGCUAUAGACAAAUUAUUCGUAACUAGGUUGCUAACUUGUGUCCUUUAGCAACAUUAGGAUUUACUUUUAUUGAAUGGAAGUUAUACAACUGUAGGACAAGGGUAGAAUAUGGUUCUACACUACCCGUGUGUCAUCUCAUAAGCUACAGAUGCCACUGUCUACCUUAUAGUUAUAACUCAUACACUAGAUAGUAGGUGAUGGUGCUUCUAAGAUGACAAUUAAUUUCUUUAAUUUUAUCCCUUUUUCUUAGUCUUUAAGUAGUUUUGAGUAUACAAAGGUUGCUAGGUAAUGGAUAUAUAGAUAAUAGAUAGAUAGAUAUUAGAUAGUAGAUAGAUAGAUAGAUAAGACCACAUCUCUGCAUAUGAUACCUUUGUUCAGGUUGAUGCUGGAAUUAAGGAAGCAAACAAGAUUCCUGAGGGUAGCAGCUUGUAUGUGGGUGAUAUUAACUACUAUCACAAGCCUCUGCUUUGCAGUAAAUGGGCCUUCACAUAUGAGGAGUGGCCGGAGGAAGAUUAUCCACCUUAUGCAAAUGGACCAGGUUACAUAUUGUCACCGAUGUCACACAAUUCAUUGUUUCCGAGUUUGAGAAACACAAACUAAGGUUAUUCAAGAUUGGAAGAUGUGAGCGAAGGAAUGUGGAUUGAGCGCUUUAACAGCUCGAAACCAGUGGAAUACGUACACAGCCUCAAGUUCUGCUAGUUUGAAUGUAUAGAUGACUGUUACACUGCUCAUUAUCAAUCUCUGAAACAAAUGAUCUGUUUAUGGAACAAGUUGCAACAACACGGCCGCCCUGUUAGCUGUAACAUGAGAUGAUCGUUUCAUGAAUUUCCCAAGAACCCAGUUUUCCAUUUGCCAAAACGAAUCUAUAGAGAAAGUUUUAAAACCCGGAAUCAUUUUCCCUUUUCUGCAUAUUCCUCGAAAGGUUCGGUCUUUUUAGGUUCCAUAUUCAUUCGUUAAUUGUUCUACUUCCUCUAUCUCACCGUAUUGAAGUUUUUGUGCCAUGAAUGAUCCUCGAAGACGAUGUUGAUGGUGAUGAUGAUGAUGACAAUGACGAUUGAUGAAACCUGAUGAUUGAUGAACGACAGCCUUAACCAGUUGGAGGGUUAUGUAAAAUAAUGUAAAGAAAAGCAUAAAAAUGAAUAGAAUCCCCAACAUUCCAGGUGUAUGAACCAUCUUAUGACUGUUUAAUUAGAAGGUUCGUCCUUAUAUUUAUCUGAAGAACUUUCCUGAUUUUGCUAUGUUUAUAGGCCAUGUGAAAGAGUGGUGGUUAGUUGUUAGUUUGGGAAUCAGGCAAUUGUUCUUUAUCCUUUUUUGUAUUUGUUAAUGUUAAUUCUUCAAUUUUGGCAAUACAAGAUCAUUAUCUGGUAGUUAUGAUUCGGUUAUUUGAUAAUUUGUUUGACUUA